UACGUAGGGCGCAAGCGUUGUCCGGAAUUAUUGGGCGUAAAGAGCUCGUAGGCGGUCUGUCGCGUCUGUUGUGAAAACUCGAGGCUCAACCUCGGGCUUGCAGUGGAUACGGGCAGACUAGAGUGCGGUAGGGGAGACUGGAAUUCCUGGUGUAGCGGUGGAAUGCGCAGAUAUCAGGAGGAACACCGAUGGCGAAGGCAGGUCUCUGGGCCGCAACUGACGCUGAGGUGCGAAAGCGUGGGGAGCGAACGGG
RNAcentral lists this ribosomal RNA (253 nucleotides) under uncultured bacterium. Its description in RNAcentral is "partial 16S ribosomal RNA". It matches the Rfam family "Bacterial small subunit ribosomal RNA", at positions 524 to 776 of the family's 1533-position model. The record is from RNAcentral.